Molecule: transfer RNA, 72 nt
Filed under: Cyphellophora europaea CBS 101466
Lineage: Eukaryota; Fungi; Ascomycota; Eurotiomycetes; Chaetothyriales; Cyphellophoraceae
Description: tRNA-Gly (CCC) (tRNA-Gly-CCC-1-1)
Rfam family: tRNA
About the family: Transfer RNA (tRNA) molecules are approximately 80 nucleotides in length. Their secondary structure includes four short double-helical elements and three loops (D, anti-codon, and T loops). Further hydrogen bonds mediate the characteristic L-shaped molecular structure. tRNAs have two regions of fundamental functional importance: the anti-codon, which is responsible for specific mRNA codon recognition, and the 3' end, to which the tRNAs corresponding amino acid is attached (by aminoacyl-tRNA synthetases). tRNAs cope with the degeneracy of the genetic code in two manners: having more than one tRNA (with a specific anti-codon) for a particular amino acid; and 'wobble' base-pairing, i.e. permitting non-standard base-pairing at the 3rd anti-codon position.
Source: RNAcentral
GCCGAUAUAGUGCAGAGGUUAGCAUGCUCCCUUCCCAAGGGAGAGACACCAGUUCGAACCUGGUUAUCGGCA